RNAcentral lists this ribosomal RNA (255 nucleotides) under uncultured bacterium. Its description in RNAcentral is "partial small subunit ribosomal RNA". It matches the Rfam family "Bacterial small subunit ribosomal RNA", at positions 26 to 285 of the family's 1533-position model. The record is from RNAcentral.
AGGACGAACGCUGGCGGCGUGCUUAACACAUGCAAGUCGAGCGGAAAGGCCCUUCGGGGUACUCGAGCGGCGAACGGGUGAGUAACACGUGAGCAACCUGCCCUUAGCUCCGGGAUAGGCUCCGGGAAACCGGAAUUAAUACCGGAUACGACCACAGCCGACAUCUGCUGUGGUGGAAAGGAUUCCGGCUAAGGAUGGGCUCGCGGCCUAUCAGCUAGUUGGUGGAGUAACGGCCCACCAAGGCGACGACGGGUA